RNAcentral lists this ribosomal RNA (500 nucleotides) under uncultured bacterium. RNAcentral's name for it is "partial 16S ribosomal RNA". It matches the Rfam family "Bacterial small subunit ribosomal RNA", at positions 30 to 523 of the family's 1533-position model. The record is from RNAcentral.
AUUGAACGCUAGCGGGAUGCCUUACACAUGCAAGUCGAACGGCAGCGCGGACUUCGGUCUGGCGGCGAGUGGCGAACGGGUGAGUAAUGUAUCGGAACGUGCCCAGUAGCGGGGGAUAACUACUCGAAAGAGUAGCUAAUACCGCAUACGCCCUACGGGGGAAAGGGGGGGAUCGCAAGACCUCUCACUAUUGGAGCGGCCGAUAUCGGAUUAGCUAGUUGGUGAGGUAAAGGCUCACCAAGGCGACGAUCCGUAGCUGGUUUGAGAGGACGACCAGCCACACUGGGACUGAGACACGGCCCAGACUCCUACGGGAGGCAGCAGUGGGGAAUUUUGGACAAUGGGGGCAACCCUGAUCCAGCCAUUCCGCGUGUGCGAUGAAGGCCUUCGGGUUGUAAAGCACUUUUGGCAGGAAAGAAAUCGCACAGGCUAAUACUCUGUGUGGAUGACGGUACCGGCAUAAGAAGCACCGGCUAACUACGUGCCAGCCGCCGCAGUAA